Molecule: ribosomal RNA, 253 nt
Filed under: uncultured bacterium
Lineage: Bacteria
Description: partial 16S ribosomal RNA
Rfam family: Bacterial small subunit ribosomal RNA
Source: RNAcentral
GACGAAGGGGGCUAGCGUUGUUCGGAAUUACUGGGCGUAAAGCGCGUGUAGGCGGUUAUCCAAGUCAGGUGUGAAAGCCUUGAGCUCAACUCAAGAAAUGCACUUGGUACUGGGUGACUAGAGGACCGGAGAGGAUAGUGGAAUUCCCAGUGUAGUGGUGAAAUACGUAGAGAUUGGGAAGAACACCAGUGGCGAAGGCGGCUAUCUGGACGGUUUCUGACGCUAAGACGCGAAGGCGUGGGGAGCAAACAGG